CACAUGGGUAGAGGCGGCCCUGCCUCUUCCGAGCUAGGGGUGUCUUAACUCCAGUGUGACAUGGGAGACUGUGGGAUGUGCGAUCUGUUUAUCAUUGAGCUUGCUUUGGUUGGGUCAGUGGCUCUGAAAACUUUUUUUGGGGAAAGAGCCUUACUGAAGUCAUCGCUGAGUGGAAGGUGAUCAGUUGUGAUCUGUUUGCAAGCAGCAAAAGGAAGGCCUUCAAUGCAGAAAUCCCAGGAGCAGCUCAGUCUGCUCCACUUAGUCCUCUGCCUUCUGAGCUGGUAUAUGUGUAGCUCAGAUCUGCUUCACAGUCACAGGUUUGGAUGUUGUCAUGGAGCACCAGAGUUCCAUGGAAAUCUUCUGUAAAGAUGGAGGGCCAGUCAAUAGUCUUUGCUGUCUCCUCAUCUCCUUCAUCUAGAGGCUACUCCAGGAAUUUUCUCAAAUGUGUAUAUGUGCACAGGUCUGCUCUAGUGUUGUAACGUGUUUGUGCAGUUUCUUUGAAGGUAUAUGCAUGUACCCAAAUGAUUGCCUGCGCAGACACCACUGAGCUGGCAGAUGUCCGAGUUUGCAUACAUCUCCCUCUCCUCGGCCAUGGCUAGCAGUGCUCAGUGAGAGCUCCCUGACCCGUGUGUCUAUUCACACCGAGCUGCAAAACCCAUGCGCUGGCUGCUGUGGCAUUCUGGCAUGGAAUGUUUGAGUCUCCAUAGCAACACAAUGCUUCCCCAUGAGAUGCCUCAGUGGCUGCAGUGACAGCUCCGUUAGCCAGGUGCAGGAGCUGGAGAGAGGCUGGGCUGAGAGCAGCUGGGGAGGGGUUCGCUUUUUGUGCCCCCUCCUUCUAUAUCCUGGUCCCCCUGAGUUGCCAGGCCCUUCUUCCCCCUGUGGCUGGCAGUGGGAUCAAGAUGCCUUUGAAGUCGAUAGUAGAGCUGCAGAUUCAUGCCAUGAGGUGGGAGCAGGGACCAAGAGAAGGAGCAGGGAGACCAUGGACAAAGUUCAGGGACAGAGGGAGAAGCCGGGAGGAUGCCUGAAAAUUCUGCCUCCGAUACAGAGGCAAAGCAUGGAAUGUAUUGGGCAUAAAUUGCAGGGUUUCAGUAGCAGGGGGCUGCAGGGGUGCCCUGUGUGGGAGAAGGUCAUGAACUGCCCUGUGCCAGUCACAGCUGGUUCCAGCUGGCUCUGAAACCAAUGUCAACAACUCAUCGCGCACCACAACUUCAGCUAGUCAGAGGAGCACGUGGUGCCCUGCUCAAACAUAUUUAAGAAAGAGUGGCAGCUGCUAGGGGUAGGAGAUGCUCUUGGAGACACAUGGCUGUAAAUAUGCUGCUGAGGAGACUGCUAAAGACACAGCUGGAGACGCACUCUUGGAAGGAGGCACCCCAUGCCAAAGGAGGUACACCUCUGAGGGGACUGCGGCCCAUAGGUGACCCAUGCUGGAACAGGGACACUAAGAAACAGAGCAGCAGAAAAAAAAAUUGGCAAGAAGCAAAGAGCAGCAGAAAGAAACCAACAUGCACAUGACCUCCCCCAACCUCCUACGCCACCCAUUGCCUCACCAGAGGAAUUGGGAGGGACUGAGUGUAACCCAGGGGGAAAAUAAACUUAAGUUGAGUCUGGGGAAGGAGGGGGGA
Molecule: long non-coding RNA, 1622 nt
Organism: Struthio camelus australis
Lineage: Eukaryota; Metazoa; Chordata; Aves; Struthioniformes; Struthionidae
Source: Ensembl